AAAAACGUAAGAUGAGUAACUGAUGUCGCUAUCCCCAGCGAGUUGUCAUUUGGUGUAAGACAAUGGUAGUAAAUCAGUGAAGAUGGUCUUAAAGCGCGUUUUCAAUGCUGAGCUGAGUCGUAAAGCAUUGACGGGAACUCCCGUUAUAGAGUUAGGGUAUCACAUGUGAUGGUUGUACUUGAAACAAACUGCUGUGACUUAAAGGUACCCGAAGAGGAAUGAUUCAUGAGGGUCAUUUGAAGCCAGGUGGUAACACGAAAGCGUUCUUUCGUCCUGCGU
RNAcentral lists this non-coding RNA (279 nucleotides) under Lactiplantibacillus fabifermentans. RNAcentral describes it as "Lactobacillus fabifermentans T-box sequence". It matches the Rfam family "T-box leader". From Rfam's summary of the family: Uncharged tRNA acts as the effector for transcription antitermination of genes in the T-box leader family. T-boxes are found upstream of many aminoacyl-tRNA synthetase genes and some amino acid biosynthetic genes usually in Gram-positive bacteria. The anticodon of a specific tRNA base pairs to a specifier sequence within the T-box motif, and the NCCA acceptor tail of the tRNA base pairs to a conserved bulge in the T-box antiterminator hairpin. The record is from RNAcentral. Lineage: Bacteria; Bacillati; Bacillota; Bacilli; Lactobacillales; Lactobacillaceae.